CUGGGAAUGAACUAAGCAUGCGAGUCAUUGUAGCAAUACAAGGCAGACGGCUCAGUAACGCGUAGUCAACCUAACCUAUGGACGGGAAUAAUCUCGGGAAACUGAGAAUAAUGCCCGAUAGAACACUAUAUCUGGAAUGGUUUGUGUUCCAAAUGAUUUAUCGCCAUAGGAUGGGACUGCGGCCUAUCAGUUUGUUGGUGAGGUAAUGGCCCACCAAGACUAUUACAGGUACGGGCUCUGAGAGGAGUAGCCCGGAGAUGGGUACUGAGACACGGACCCAGGCCCUAUGGGGCGCAGCAGGCGAGAAAACUUUGCAAUGUGCGAAAGCACGACAAGGUUAAUCCGAGUGGUUUCUGCUAAAGGAACCUUUUGUCAGUCCUAGAAACACUGAUGAAUGAGGGGUGGGCAAGUUCUGGUGUCAGCCGCCGCGGUAAAACCAGCACCUCAAGUGGUCAGGAUGAUUAUUGGGCCUAAAGCAUCCGUAGCCGGCUCUAUAAGUUUUCGGUUAAAUCUGUAUGCUCAACGUACAGGCUGCCGGGAAUACUGUAGAGCUAGGGAGUGGGAGAGGUAGACGGUACUCGGUAGGAAGGGGUAAAAUCCUUUGAUCUAUUGAUGACCACCUGUGGCGAAGGCGGUCUACCAGAACACGUCCGACGGUGAGGGAUGAAAGCUGGGGGAGCAAACCGGAUUAGAUACCCGGGUAGUCCCAGCUGUAAACUAUGCAAACUCAGUGAUGCAUUGGCUUGUGGCCAAUGCAGUGCUGCAGGGAAGCCGUUAAGUUUGCCGCCUGGGAAGUACGUACGCAAGUAUGAAACUUAAAAGGAAGUGGCGGGGGAGCACCACAAGGGGUGAAGCCUGCGGUUCAAUUGGAGUCAACGCCGGGAAAUC
RNAcentral lists this ribosomal RNA (888 nucleotides) under uncultured archaeon. RNAcentral's name for it is "bacterial SSU rRNA". It matches the Rfam family "Archaeal small subunit ribosomal RNA", at positions 32 to 927 of the family's 1478-position model. The record is from RNAcentral.